GGGGCUGUAGCUCAGUUGGGAGAGCGCCUGCCUUGCAAGCAGGAGGUCAUCGGUUCGAUCCCGUUCAGCUCCAC
Molecule: transfer RNA, 74 nt
Filed under: Brevibacillus laterosporus
Lineage: Bacteria; Bacillati; Bacillota; Bacilli; Caryophanales; Paenibacillaceae
Also listed under: 1 other name
Description: tRNA-Ala
Rfam family: tRNA
About the family: Transfer RNA (tRNA) molecules are approximately 80 nucleotides in length. Their secondary structure includes four short double-helical elements and three loops (D, anti-codon, and T loops).
Source: RNAcentral